Molecule: ribosomal RNA, 623 nt
Filed under: uncultured organism
Description: bacterial SSU rRNA
Rfam family: Bacterial small subunit ribosomal RNA
Source: RNAcentral
AAACGAUGUACACUAGGUCCGGGAGGUUCUGACACCCUCCGGGCCGAAGGAAAACCAUUAAGUGUACCGCCUGGGGAGUACGGUCGCAAGGCUAAAACUCAAAGGAAUUGACGGGGGCUCACACAAGCGGUGGAGCAUGUGGCCUAAUUCGAGGCAACGCGAAGAACCUUAUCCUGGGUUUGACAUGUUGUGUUCAUCCAUGGAAACAUGGUGUCCUUCGGGAGAACAACACAGGUGCUGCAUGGCUGUCGUCAGCCCGUGCCGUGAGGUGUUAGGUUAAGUCCUUCAACGAGCGAAACCCUUGCCACUAGUUGCCAGCGAGUCAAGUCGGGGACUCUAGUGGGACUGCCGAUGUCAAAUCGGAGGAAGGUGGGGAUGACGUCAAGUCAUCAUGGCCUUUAUGCCCAGGGCUGCACACGUGCUACAAUGGCGCGUACAGAGUGAAGCAAUGCCGCGAGGCGGAGCAAAUCGCAAAAAACGCGCCCCAGUUCGGAUUGCAGUCUGCAACUCGACUGCAUGAAGCCGGAAUCGCUAGUAAUCGCGUAUCAGCAACGACGCGGUGAAUACGUUCCUGAGCAUUGUACACACCGCCCGUCAAGUCAUGGAAGCCGGGAGUGCCCGAA